Molecule: ribosomal RNA, 424 nt
Filed under: uncultured Prevotella sp.
Lineage: Bacteria; Pseudomonadati; Bacteroidota; Bacteroidia; Bacteroidales; Prevotellaceae
Description: bacterial SSU rRNA
Rfam family: Bacterial small subunit ribosomal RNA
Source: RNAcentral
GGCGGAGACGCCGCAGUCCUUCGGGAAGUCUGUGAAGGUGCUGCAUGGUUGUCGUCAGCUCGUGCCGUGAGGUGUCGGCUCAAGUGCCAUAACGAGCGCAACCCCUGUCUCCUGUUGCCAUCAGGUAAAGCUGGGCACACUGGAGAGACUGCCGCCGUAAGGUGCGAGGAAGGUGGGGAUGACGUCAAAUCAGCACGGCCCUUACGUCCGGGGCUACACACGUGUUACAAUGGCCGGUACAGAAGGAUGGUGCCCCGCAAGGUGCAUCGAACCUGAAAAACCGGUCCCAGUUCGGACUGGGGUCUGCAACCCGACCCCACGAAGCUGGAUUCGCUAGUAAUCGCGCAUCAGCCAUGACGCGGUGAAUACGUUCCCGGGCCUUGUACACACCGCCCGUCAAGCCAUGAAAGCCGGGAGUGCCUGA